AAGUGCAGUGUUCAGACCAAGUUCUGUCAUGUUAUUUGUGCUAGUAUUUGAGUGUUAUAUAAACAUUUUGGACAAUUGUUUCUGAAGUUUCCAUUGUUAUUUUUGGGUUUAUUCAUUUACAAAGGCUAUAGACAAAUCUCUGGCAUAUGUGUACAUAGUUAUCAAUCAACUGUGCAGUAGCAUGCAACUUAAAAAAGUUAUUUAUCUAUUUAUUGUUGGCUGCCCUGGGUCUUCAUUGCUACAUGCCAGCUUUCUCUAGUUGUGGCAAGCAGGGGCUACCCUUCAUUGUGGUGCAUGGGCUUUGCAGUGCAGUGACUUCUCUGUUGUGAAGCAUGGGCUCUAGGGACACUGGGCUCAGUCACUGUGGCACAUGGGUCUAGCUGCCCCACAGCCUAUGGAAUCUUCCUGGGCCAGGGGUUGAACCCAUGUUUCCUGAAUUGGCAAGUGGAUUCUUAGCCACUAGACCGCCAGGGAAGUCCCCCUUAUUACUUUUGUAAAGAAUUCGCUUCUAUUUGACCCAAUCAGAUGGAAUAUAUUUUAUUACAUAUAGUUCUCUUCUCUGGCCCUUGCCAGAGAUCAGGGUUUCUCUCACAAAAGGGAACAGUUGUCUAUGCCUUGUUUUUCACAGUGCAGUCCAUACCACAAGCAAUGACAUCACCAGUCUAUACCACAAGCAAUGACACCACAGCAGAAUAUCAGGCUCCACUUUAGACCUACUGAAUUGGAAUUGACAUUUUAACAAGAUUCCCCAGGUCCAAAGUGUCCAUAGGCUUUGGAGAAGCAAACAAUGAUGGUGAAAGACAUUCUGGAAGGAAGGAUCAGAAGCAGCAAGGCUUGUAGUAAUUAUAGGCCCUUGGUCAUUGAUCUGGAUAUGAUAUGGUUUCAGGUAUGAUGAAAAUGAAAGAGAGUGAAAAAGUUGGCUUAAAGAUCAACAUUCAGAAAACUAAGAUCAUGGCAUCUGGUCCCAUCACUUCAUGGCAAAUAGAUGGGGAAACAGUAGAAACAGUGGCUGACUAUUUUUGGGGUGCUCCAAAAUCACUGCAGAUGGUGACUGCAGCCAUGAAAUGAAAAGGCGCUUACUCCUUGGAAGAAAAGUUAUGACCAACCUAGACAGCAUAUUAAAAAGCAGAGACAUUAUUUUGUCAACAAAUGUCUGUCUAGUCAAGGCUAUGGUUUUUCCAAUAAUCAUGUAUGGAUGUGAGAGUUGGACUAUAAAGAAAGCUGAGCACUGAAGAAUUGAUGCUUUUGAACUGUGGUGUUGGAGAAGACUCUUGAGAAUCACUUGGACGGCAAGGAGAUCCAACGAGUCCAUCCUAAAGGAAAUCAGUCCUGAAUAUUCAUUGGAAGGACUGAUGCUGAAGCUGAAACU
This 1369-nucleotide long non-coding RNA is filed under the name Bos indicus x Bos taurus (hybrid cattle). Its description in RNAcentral is "lncRNA (ENSBIXG00000021426.1)". The record is from RNAcentral. Lineage: Eukaryota; Metazoa; Chordata; Mammalia; Artiodactyla; Bovidae.